Molecule: ribosomal RNA, 494 nt
Filed under: uncultured bacterium
Lineage: Bacteria
Description: partial 16S ribosomal RNA
Rfam family: Bacterial small subunit ribosomal RNA
Source: RNAcentral
GACGAACGCUGGCGGCGUGCUUAACACAUGCAAGUCGAACGGUUAAGCGCCUUCCUUUUUGGUGGGCGUGGACGAGUGGCGAACGGGUGACUAACACGUGAGUAACCUGCCCCCUUCUUCUGGAUAACCGCAUGACAGUGUGGCCAAUCCGCGUUAUUCUGGGUCUGUCGCAUGUUGGGACUGGGCACGAUCUUGUUUCGGUGGGGGAUGGGCUCGCGGCCUAUCGGCUUGGUGGUGUGGAGAUGGCCUACCAAGGCGAUGACGAGUAGCCGGCCUGAGAGGGUCGGCGGUAACACAGGGGAGAAGACGCGGACAAGACUACGAGAGGAGGCAGCAGGGGAGAAUAUUGCACGAUGGGCAGAAUGAUGAAGCAGCGACGCCGCGGGGAGGAUGGAGGCCGUCGGGUUGUGAACCUCUUGCGCCAGUGAAGCAGGGCUGCCUAGUUUGUGGGUGGGUUGACGGUAGCUGGAGAAGAAGCGCCGGCUAACUACGUG